RNAcentral lists this ribosomal RNA (440 nucleotides) under uncultured bacterium. RNAcentral's name for it is "partial 16S ribosomal RNA". It matches the Rfam family "Bacterial small subunit ribosomal RNA", at positions 338 to 795 of the family's 1533-position model. The record is from RNAcentral.
CCUACGGGAGGCAGCAGUGGGGAAUAUUGCACAAUGGGGGAAACCCUGAUGCAGCGACGCCGCGUGAAGGAUGAAGUAUUUCGGUAUGUAAACUUCUAUCAGCAGGGAAGAAAAUGACGGUACCUGACUAAGAAGCCCCGGCUAACUACGUGCCAGCAGCCGCGGUAAUACGUAGGGGGCAAGCGUUAUCCGGAUUUACUGGGUGUAAAGGGAGCGUAGACGGCAUGGCAAGUCUGAUGUGAAAACCCGGGGCUCAACCCCGGGACUGCAUUGGAAACUGUCAGGCUAGAGUGCAGGAGAGGUAAGCGGAAUUCCUGGUGUAGCGGUGAAAUGCGUAGAUAUCAGGAGGAACACCGGCGGCGAAGGCGGCUUACUGGACUGUAACUGACGUUGAGGCUCGAAGGCGUGGGGAGCAAACAGGAUUAGAUACCCCAGUAGUC